Colius striatus (speckled mousebird) is the source of this 5749-nucleotide RNA transcript. It is a transcript of the gene named ATP binding cassette subfamily C member 10, with no coding region annotated. NCBI's taxonomy places the organism in Eukaryota, Metazoa, Chordata, Aves, Coliiformes, Coliidae. The record is from RefSeq and is a predicted model, not a curated record. The transcript has 24 exons.
GGCGACGGGGAUCGGCGGGAGGCGCCGCGGUGGCCCGACGGGGAGCGGUGGCGGCGCGGCGGGGGACGGGGCGAAGCGGAGUGCGGCGGCGAGGCGGCGGUAGCGGCGGCAGCUGGCGGCAGCGGCGGAGGCCGGCCGCGGCCUGGCCCCGGCCCCGACGUGCUGGAGCGGGAGGCGCGGGACCCCGAGGAGCUGCCCUCUUUCAGCCGGUGGGAUGAAGACGAGGACGAGGGGCCGGAGCGGCCGCAGCUAGAGCGGAGGCCUAUGGAUGUCCCUGGUAGUAUCUGGUGAUGGAUUUGGUGACAUUUGGAAGGAGCUCCGAGCUCUCACAUUGAAUUCCCAGAAAAGGAUGGAGAGCAUCCUGUCAGGUUUGUGUGGGACCAGCACAGAAGAUCCACUCCCUGUGUGGGUUCACGGCAGUGUUGGCCAUUGCUUUAAUCAGCUGACAUUAAAUGUGAUUCCUCAUGUGAUCCUUGCAGUGGUCAGUGCCUGCUUCCUUGGCACUCCAAGAUCUCGCUCUGAGGUGCCUCACAAGUCAGGCUGGAGAUGCAGAAUUGCUGCCUCCUUCAUACUUGCUGGCCUAUUCCUUGCUGAUACCAUCCCAGCCACUAUUUCUCAGCAGGAGCUGGGCCCUGUGUACCUGGAAGUGCUGGCCAAUGGCACUGCCACCCUGACAUGGCUCACGCACGGCCUCGCUCUUCUCAUGCUCUGCAGGUCCAUUCAUGGGUCUACCAGGGGCCCUGCUAUCCUGGCUCUCCUCACUCUCUUACCCCUGCCUUCCUUCAUCAUCACACUGAUGUGGUACUACCAAAGUGGGAUAGCUUGGUCCCCUGCCCACCCUGCUGCCUCCUCCAGGUUUGCCAUUCUGUGUCUGCAGCUGACCUCUCUGCUCGUGUAUGGGAUAGGCUACCUCUUCCCUGCUGCUGGCCGACAAGUCUUCCUCUCCAUCAAUAGCUCCUGGCAACAUGACCAGCUCAUCUCAGAGCCAGAGAUCUCGGUGCCUGAUCAGCAAAGGACAGCAGAAGAUGGUGAGAGCUGGCUCUCACGCUUCUUUUAUGUUUGGAUGAACCCUCUUAUGAAACGUGGCUAUGAGGGGAAGCUGAACCAGCCGCAGGAUGUCUGUGUGCUUCCUCGCCUGCUCCAGGCUGCCAGGGUCUGCGAUCACUUCUACUCUUGCUGGCAGAAGAAGGCAGCUCCACGCCAAGCAGAGGAGGAGACAGUGUCUCUCACUAGCCCAAUCCUUGCUGGAGGUGACGGGAGCAGCAGUGCCCUGGACAGCUUGCACCGUGCCCGGGAGACUGUGCGGCUCUUCUCAGUCCUUCACACGGCCUUUGGCCUUCGUUUCUACUCCCUGGGGCUUCUCAAGCUGGCCGGCAACCUGCUGAGUUUCUCAGGUCCCCUGCUUCUGAACCUGCUAGUGAACUUCAUGGAGUCCCGGCAGGAGCCCCUGAGGAAUGGAGUGCUCUAUGCCCUUGGGCUCUUUGCCGGCUCCUUCCUGGGCGCCCUCUUGCGCAGCCAGUUCAGCCACGAGAUGAACAAGGUGACGCUGAUGGUGCGGGCCACCGUCAUCUCUGCCAUCUACCGCAAGGCUCUGCGUGUCGGCAGCACCAGCCUUGCCCGCUUCACCGUGGGGGAAAUUGUCAACUUCAUGAGCACGGACACUAGUAGGUUGGUCAACUUCUACCUCGUCUUCCACGAGGUGUGGAGCAUGCCUUUCCAGUUUGCCAUUACCCUCUACCUCCUCUACCAGCAAGUGGGGGUAGCCUUUCUGGGAGGCUUGGCCCUGACACUACUGCUUGUGCCGAUCAACAAGGUCAUAGCUAACUGCAUCAUGAUGAACAACAAGGAGAUGCUGAAACACAAGGACACGCGGGUGAAGCUAAUGACAGAGUUCCUAUGUGGCAUUCGUGUGAUCAAGUUUUAUGCAUGGGAGAAGCACUUCAGCGCCAGGAUCAAUGCCUGCCGGGCUAAAGAGCUGCAGAGGUUAAGAGCCAUCAAGUACUUGGAUGCUGUGUGCGUGUAUCUGUGGGCCGCACUGCCUGUUGUUGUCUCCAUUGCCAUCUUCAUCACCUAUGUCCUGUUGGGUCACGAACUCACAGCCACAAAGGUGUUCACAGCAUUGGCCCUUGUCGGGAUGCUUAUUCUCCCCCUCAACAGCUUCCCAUGGGUGUUGAAUGCGGCCUUGGAAGCCAAAGUUUCCCUGGAUCGAAUCCAGCGUUUCCUUGAUCUCGUGGACCAGGACCUGGAAGCUUAUUAUGCCCUAGACAACCCUUCAGGUACUGCUGCUGCCAUAGAGAUGCAAGGUGCGGCCUUCUUAUGGACACCAGCUGAGGAGGAAAGCACCAGUCAGCCCUUAUCCACAGGCACCCUGCAACUGUACAUUGAGAGCUUGUCAGUGAGAAAGGGGAUGCUCCUGGGAGUCGUUGGGAAGGUUGGCUCUGGCAAAAGCUCUCUGCUUGCAGCCAUCACUGGAGAACUCAUUAAGCAGGGUGGACGGGUGUAUGUUUGUGACCUGGAGCAAGGAUUUGGUCUGGCCACACAGGAGCCUUGGAUACAGUUUACCACUGUCCGAGAGAACAUCCUUUUUGGGCGGGAAUAUGAUGCCAGGCUGUACAAGGAGGUGGUGGAGGCCUGUGCCCUCUCUGAGGACCUGAACAUUCUACCAGCAGGUGACCAGACAGAGGUGGGUGAAAAUGGUGUGACACUCAGUGGGGGACAGAAAGCCCGAAUAGCCCUUGCCAGAGCAGUUUACCAGGAGAAAGAGCUUUACCUCCUUGAUGAUCCCCUGGCUGCUGUUGAUGCAGAUGUAGCCAACCACCUUAUGCAAAAAUGUAUUCUGGGAGUUCUCAAAAACAAAACCAGGAUCCUUUGCACGCACAGGACGGAGUUUUUGGAGAAGGCCGAUGCCUUGUUGUUGCUAGACAAUGGCAGGAUAGUUAAGAGAGGCACACCAGCUGACAUCCUGCCACUCGUGGAAGCCUUCCCUAAGUUCAAGGAUAUGGACAAGAAGCAGAAGGCCCCUGAUGAACAGGGCCAAGAAGAGGUCAGAGAGACAGAGGCAGAAGAAUCAACCCAAACCAAUCAUCUCAUCCUCAAAGAGGAAGAGAAGAAAGAAGGAGCAGUAGCUUUUCAGGUGUACAAGGCAUAUUGGUUGGCAGUGGGCAGCUGCAUGGCAUGUUCCAUUCUCUUCUCGCUGCUCCUAAUGCAAGCAUCCAGAAAUAUCUCAGAUUGGUGGCUGUCAUACUGGAUCUCCAGCAUAUCUCAGACAGCAAAUACCUCUGUGAUGGUCUGCUCAGCUUCCUCGCCUUCCCCAGAGCUGCUGCUCUUCUCCAUUGGUGGGCUUGUCUCCCCCAUCCAAGCUCUGGACACCAGCCCAGUCCCUUCCAAUGGCUCACAGGAUGUGAAUUUCUACCUGAUAGUUUAUGGGAGCAUUGCAGGGGCCAACUCCCUCUUCACCAUUCUCCGGGCUUUCCUCUUUGCUUACGGCACGUUCCAUGCUGCCACCGUCAUUCACGACCGACUGCUCCAGAGGGCUCUAAAGGCCACAGUUACCUUCUUUGACACCACACCAACAGGCCGGAUCCUGAACCGCUUCUCCUCAGACCUGUACUGUGUGGAUGACAGCCUGCCCUUUAUCCUCAAUAUCUUCCUGUUCAAUAUGUAUGAGCUCUUGGGCAUGCUGGUGAUAAUCACCUAUGGCCUCCCUUGGAUCGCUCUGGUCUUGCUGCCUCUGGCUGCCCUCUACUUCUCCAUCCAGCGCUAUUACCGCCGCACAUCCCGGGAGCUCAAGCGCCUUUGCAGCAUCACCCUGUCUCCUAUUUACACUCACUUCUCAGAGACCCUCUCGGGCCUGAGCAGCAUCAGAGCCAUGCGGGCAACACAGAGGUUUGAGUUGGAGAAUCAGGCGCUGCUGGAGCAGAACCAGCACUGCCUCUUUGCCAGCAAGACAGCAGUGCAGUGGCUGGACAUCCGCCUGCAGAUGAUUGGGGUCACUGUGAUUACUGCUAUUGCAGGAAUUGCCAUCAUCCAGCACCAGAAGCAACUGGGAAAUCCAGGACUUGUGGGCCUGGCACUCUCAUACGCCCUGUCUAUCACAAACCUCCUCUCAGGCCUCAUUUCCAACUUCACUCAGACAGAGACCAUGAUGGUGAGUGUGGAGCGGACAGAGGAAUACACCACAGAGAUCCCCACAGAGCCCCAAGAUAAACUGGUCCAGGUUGCUGCUGACUGGCCAAGCCAGGGGCUUGUGGAGUUCCACCAAGUGGUCCUGGCCUACCGAGCAGGUUUGCCUAAUGCCCUUGAUGGUGUGACCUUCACUGUUUACCCUGGAGAGAAGGUGGGGAUUGUGGGUCGCACAGGAUCUGGAAAAUCCACCCUUUUCUUGGCCCUUUUCCGCAUGCUGGAGCUGAAAUCGGGCCGGAUUCUCCUGGAUGGCAUUGAGAGCCAGCUGGUGGGCUUGGAGGAGCUGAGGUCCAGGCUGGCCAUCAUUCCCCAGGACCCGUUUUUGUUCAGUGGUUCAAUCCGAGAGAACCUGGAUCCGCAGGGGAAGCGGACGGAUGCUGAGCUGCAGGAGGUGCUGGAGCAGUGCCACCUGCGCGACGCUGUGACGCAGCUGGGUGGGUUGUACGGCGAGCUGGGGGAGAAGGGAAAGAAUCUGUCGGUGGGACAGAGGCAGCUGAUGUGUCUGGCAAGAGCCCUCCUGACACAGGCCAAGGUGCUGUGCAUUGACGAGGCCACGGCCAGCGUGGAUCAGAAGACAGACCAGCUGCUGCAGCAGACCAUCCGCCAGCGCUUCGCCGACACAACCGUUCUGACGAUCGCUCACAGGCUCAACACCAUCUUGGACUCAGACCGUGUGCUGGUGAUGCAAGCUGGGAGAGUGGCAGAGCUGGACUCACCCUCCCGCCUGAGCCAGAGAGAUGGCUCCUUGUUCCAGCACCUUCUGCGCAGCGGGCAGCAGUGAGCUCUCUCCUGCUUCUGCCUGCCUCUCCUCUCACCUCAGGCACCAGCCCGGGCCCUGCGGGGCCAGGAGCCGCUGAGACACAGACUUCCUUGUGAGAUGCAGGAGUGAUGCUCUCUGUACAAAGACAACCUGCUCCCUACUACUUUGAGAGGGCGUUGUCUUUUCCAAGCCCAGAAGGUCACACCCAAGGACCUUGGUGCUCUUUCUGCAGUUCACAGUGGAGAAGCCUUUCUCCUGAAAGACCAGGAUGUGAUUACACCGAAGGCCUCUAAGGCUAGUUUAUUUCAAGACCACUUUUCCAUGGGAAACUCCCUAUCCCUGCUGCACUGUUCCCAGCUGAACAAACCCACGGCUGCUUUCAGUGAGAUUGCUCUUCCCUUGGACUCGGUUCUUUUGAGAUUUCCCCUUCUCCCCAACACUAAAGCGAGGCCUAGCAGGUACACACCUUUGCUACACAGUCCUGAGGCAGGUCCCACUCCUUCUCCUGGGGCUGCAGGAGACACCUCCAGCCCCGCAGCCAGAGCACAGGGCAGGACAACUCCUGUGCCACCAUCUGGGUGUGCAUUCUUGAGGAAAGUGAUGGAGAUACUCAUCCAGGACAAAUACCUGCACAACCUGAUCUAGUGGGGCCUGCCGAGAGCAGAAGCUUGGUGUCCAGAGGUCCUUUGCAACAGAAAUUAUGUUAUGAUUCUCCGAUACGCUGCUUCUGGGCUUGUAUUUGUUUUAUUUGAUAAAGGUACAUCAUCCAUCCAUGUAUUAAAAAAAUAAUCUUUCUGAUGAAGCUCC